This 460-nucleotide ribosomal RNA is filed under the name uncultured bacterium. RNAcentral describes it as "partial 16S ribosomal RNA". It matches the Rfam family "Bacterial small subunit ribosomal RNA", at positions 338 to 795 of the family's 1533-position model. The record is from RNAcentral.
CCUACGGGUGGCAGCAGUGAGGAAUAUUGGUCAAUGGGCGCGAGCUUGAACCAGCCAAGUAGCGUGAAGGAUGACUGCCCUACGGGUUGUAAACUUCUUUUAUAAAGGAAUAAAGCGAGUCACGUGUGCCUCUUUGUAUGUACCUUAUGAAUAAGGAUCGGCUAACUCCGUGCCAGCAGCCGCGGUAAUACGGAGGAUCCGAGCGUUAUCCGGAUUUAUUGGGUUUAAAGGGAGCGUAGAUGGGUUGUUAAGUCAGUUGUGAAAGUUUGCGGCUCAACCGUAAAAUUGCAAUGGAAACUGGCAGUCUUGAGUACAGUUGAGGUAGGCGGAAUUCGUGGUGUAGCGGUGAAAUGCUUAGAUAUCACGAAGAACUCCGAUUGCGAAGGCAGCUUGCUAAACUGCCACUGACAUUGAUGCUCGAAAGUGUGGGUAUCGAACAGGAUUAGAUACCCGAGUAGUC